UUGAGACUUUUAUUCAGAUAU
RNAcentral lists this non-coding RNA (21 nucleotides) under Caenorhabditis elegans. Lineage: Eukaryota; Metazoa; Nematoda; Chromadorea; Rhabditida; Rhabditidae. The record is from RNAcentral.